Molecule: non-coding RNA, 1192 nt
Organism: Pelodiscus sinensis (Chinese soft-shelled turtle)
Lineage: Eukaryota; Metazoa; Chordata; Testudines; Trionychidae
Source: RefSeq, a predicted model, not a curated record
UAAAAAUAGCCACAUCACAGUAUGUGGGUUCAAAAUUAAUUUGAGAAAGUAGAACACAAUAUGAAGGGGCAGAAAGCACUAACACUAAACACAUUUUCCCUAAUUUAAGCCUGCCUGGGUUUAAAGUUUAAUUAUAGACAGCUUCCAUCAUGCAAAAUGACUUUCACUUUGUACAUUUUCACUGUAAAUCACAGUACUAACAUAAUAUUUAAAGGUCAGAAUUCUUGCAAAAUUAGCUCAAAGGGAAACUUUUUUACACGUGAGAGAGGUGUAGUCUUUUUUUAAACAGAAAGAUGCAUAACUCACUAAUAGCAGAGUUAAAGAAAGCUGUGUGCAUGAGUCUCCUUAACUUUUUUUAAAUGAUGUGACUUGUACUCUUUGAAUGUCUAGCAUGCGGGAGGCAGUGGCUGAAGAGCAACUCCAUAAACAUUCUGUUAAUUGUACAAUUUGUCACAGAUUUGUCAAAGUUCUCCCAUCAGAGCAAGGUGAUAUAAAUAAAGUCAUUUGAUACAGAAGCCAGACACACUUGGACUUCAAGCUUCUCUGAAUACUGGUGUAAACAUUCCUGUGCAAGCCAUCUGAAAAGAGGCAAGGAAACAGAGUCAUGGAUCAGCUUGCAGCAGUGGCAGACUUGGCCAGCCACAGAGGGGAGUAUACACAGCACCCUGUUAAGGAGAGGUGUAGGGACUGUGAUUCCCCUGGGCUCUAAAAGCCUUCCUGGCCCUUCUGAAGGAAAAUACCCGUGGGACCUCCCAUUGGGGCACUGUAACGCUACACCAUCUUCAGUAUGGAUUUUCAUUCUGCCUCCAUGAAAUUUCUGUGAAACUUUGGAAAAGAUCUAUUAGACUAUAAGCCCAGAUCCACAAAGGGACUUGGACAUUACAAUGUUUAACUCUUGGGCAUCUAGAAAACUAUUGGCCCAGCCAUGGAAUCUAAAAAGCUAAGUUAGAUGCCUUCCCUCCCUAUUCAAUGCAUGGAGAGAAUGGUGUCUAAGAAGGGGAUCCCCAAAAGCCAGCAUGCUGGGCGAGGAGCGACCUAAGCUACAGAAUGGGGAAAUGUUGAUGAGAAGGGCACAGAUGUCAUAUGCUGUCAUGGUCCACAGGAGAUCUUCUGAACACAUACUGGGAGAGUGCUGUGUGUACGUGAACCUGUAGCAGCUGAAUGGAAGUGCUUUGUAGUUUUUGCUGAAAGG